CAGUAGCCGCGGUAAUACGAAGGGGGCUAGCGUUGUUCGGAUUUACUGGGCGUAAAGCGCACGUAGGCGGAUCGAUCAGUCAGGGGUGAAAUCCUGGAGCUCAACUCCAGAACUGCCUUUGAUACUGUCGAUCUCGAGUCCGGAAGAGGUGAGUGGAACUCCUAGUGUAGAGGUGGAAUUCGUAGAUAUUAGGAAGAACACCAGUGGCGAAGGCGGCUCAUUGGUCCGGUACUGACGCUGAGGUGCGAAAGCGUGGGGAGCAAACAGGAUUAGAUACCCCAGUAGUCCCUGUCUCUUAUAC
RNAcentral lists this ribosomal RNA (301 nucleotides) under uncultured bacterium. RNAcentral describes it as "partial 16S ribosomal RNA". It matches the Rfam family "Bacterial small subunit ribosomal RNA", at positions 509 to 807 of the family's 1533-position model. The record is from RNAcentral.